Molecule: long non-coding RNA, 224 nt
Filed under: Capsicum annuum
Lineage: Eukaryota; Viridiplantae; Streptophyta; Magnoliopsida; Solanales; Solanaceae
Description: long non-coding RNA (CANN_LNC012793)
Source: RNAcentral
CUUAUCUAGUUCCCUGGCCAUAGUGUUAUUGUUCUUUUUCCCUUUGGUACUCUUGUUGACAAUGUUAUAGACACGACCUUUGUUGUUGGCUCUCUUUCUGUCUCUGGCACCUAUGUUGACACUUUCUGAAUCUCUUCUCGAGAUCAUGUUUGUCACGUCCUUGAUUUUCAUCUCUGAUUUGGUUAAGGAUUUGUGAUUUGUUUUGACCUCUUACUUGCUUCAAC